RNAcentral lists this ribosomal RNA (558 nucleotides) under uncultured bacterium. Its description in RNAcentral is "bacterial SSU rRNA". It matches the Rfam family "Bacterial small subunit ribosomal RNA", at positions 340 to 914 of the family's 1533-position model. The record is from RNAcentral.
UACGGGAGGCAGCAGUCGGGAAUAUUGGACAAUGGGGGCAACCCUGAUCCAGCAAUACCGCGUGUGUGAAGAAGGCCUGCGGGUUGUAAAGCACUUUUAGUAGGGAAGAUAAUGACGUUACCUACAGAAAAAGCACCGGCUAACUCCGUGCCAGCAGCCGCGGUAAUACGGAGGGUGCAAGCGUUAAUCGGAAUUACUGGGCGUAAAGCGUGCGUAGGCGGCUCUUUAAGUCAGAUGUGAAAUCCCCGGGCUCAACCUGGGAACUGCAUCUGAUACUGGGGAGCUAGAAUGUGGGAGAGGGAAGUGGAAUUUCCGGUGUAGCGGUGAAAUGCAUAGAGAUCGGAAGGAACAUCAGUGGCGAAGGCGACUUCCUGGACCAACAUUGACGCUGAGGCACGAAAGCGUGGGUAGCAAACAGGAUUAGAUACCCUGGUAGUCCACGCCGUAAACGAUGUCAACUAGCCGUCGGCUCCAACUAAGGGGUCGGUGGUGCAGCUAACGCAUUAAGUUGACCGCCUGGGGAGUACGCGCGCAAGCGUAAAACUCAAAGGAAUUGAC